This 1319-nucleotide ribosomal RNA is filed under the name Vibrio parahaemolyticus. Its description in RNAcentral is "bacterial SSU rRNA". It matches the Rfam family "Bacterial small subunit ribosomal RNA", at positions 132 to 1446 of the family's 1533-position model. The record is from RNAcentral. Lineage: Bacteria; Pseudomonadati; Pseudomonadota; Gammaproteobacteria; Vibrionales; Vibrionaceae.
UGAUGUGGGGGAUAACCAUUGGAAACGAUGGCUAAUACCGCAUGAUGCCUACGGGCCAAAGAGGGGGACCUUCGGGCCUCUCGCGUCAGGAUAUGCCUAGGUGGGAUUAGCUAGUUGGUGAGGUAAGGGCUCACCAAGGCGACGAUCCCUAGCUGGUCUGAGAGGAUGAUCAGCCACACUGGAACUGAGACACGGUCCAGACUCCUACGGGAGGCAGCAGUGGGGAAUAUUGCACAAUGGGCGCAAGCCUGAUGCAGCCAUGCCGCGUGUGUGAAGAAGGCCUUCGGGUUGUAAAGCACUUUCAGUCGUGAGGAAGGUGGUGGUGUUAAUAGCUCCAUCAUUUGACGUUAGCGACAGAAGAAGCACCGGCUAACUCCGUGCCAGCAGCCGCGGUAAUACGGAGGGUGCGAGCGUUAAUCGGAAUUACUGGGCGUAAAGCGCAUGCAGGUGGUUUGUUAAGUCAGAUGUGAAAGCCCGGGGCUCAACCUCGGAAUUGCAUUUGAAACUGGCAGACUAGAGUACUGUAGAGGGGGGUAGAAUUUCAGGUGUAGCGGUGAAAUGCGUAGAGAUCUGAAGGAAUACCGGUGGCGAAGGCGGCCCCCUGGACAGAUACUGACACUCAGAUGCGAAAGCGUGGGGAGCAAACAGGAUUAGAUACCCUGGUAGUCCACGCCGUAAACGAUGUCUACUUGGAGGUUGUGGCCUUGAGCCGUGGCUUUCGGAGCUAACGCGUUAAGUAGACCGCCUGGGGAGUACGGUCGCAAGAUUAAAACUCAAAUGAAUUGACGGGGGCCCGCACAAGCGGUGGAGCAUGUGGUUUAAUUCGAUGCAACGCGAAGAACCUUACCUACUCUUGACAUCCAGAGAACUUUCCAGAGAUGGAUUGGUGCCUUCGGGAACUCUGAGACAGGUGCUGCAUGGCUGUCGUCAGCUCGUGUUGUGAAAUGUUGGGUUAAGUCCCGCAACGAGCGCAACCCUUAUCCUUGUUUGCCAGCGAGUAAUGUCGGGAACUCCAGGGAGACUGCCGGUGAUAAACCGGAGGAAGGUGGGGACGACGUCAAGUCAUCAUGGCCCUUACGAGUAGGGCUACACACGUGCUACAAUGGCGCAUACAGAGGGCAGCCAACUUGCGAAAGUGAGCGAAUCCCAAAAAGUGCGUCGUAGUCCGGAUUGGAGUCUGCAACUCGACUCCAUGAAGUCGGAAUCGCUAGUAAUCGUGGAUCAGAAUGCCACGGUGAAUACGUUCCCGGGCCUUGUACACACCGCCCGUCACACCAUGGGAGUGGGCUGCAAAAGAAGUAGGUAGUUUAACCUUCGGG